AUGAAGGAUUGCGGCCAUCUUUUGUGUACUGGACAAAACAAACACGGGAAAAGCCAGCGCUCCCCAGGUCGCUCCCGCGGGCGGCCAGGGAGCGAACCCUGCCGCCGCCGCUCAGUCUCGGCCGUCCGCUCCUCCCCUCACCGCCGCCGGCGGACGUCGCCGGGCGAAGCCCGCGCGGCGGGGUCUACCUCACCUCCGGCUCGGGCGGGGGCGGCGCGGGCCGUCCGCUCCGGCGGGAGCUCGAUGCGGAGCUCGCGCAGAUCUGGCGGGGGUGGCCACGGUCGGGGGGUGGCGCGGCGUGGGCGCGCAAGGCGCGGCGUGCGGCGGGGUUCUCCUCGUCUGGCGGCAGGCGCUCGAGGUGGGGGAGGCUCAAUCCCCUUUCUGUUGCGCGUCUCGGCGGCUCCAGGCGGGACAGUGGCCUCGGCAGCGGCGCCAGUAGGCCUUCGGGGCACGUCCCCGUGGCUCUUCUCCGGCUUGCUGGUCUAUAGCAGCGUCUCUCACGGGUGGCAGCCGCGGUUUGCUUCGUCGGCGGGCUCCGGUUCUUCGGCCGGACGCCCAUCUCCGGCGAGUCGGGGCGGGCGCGGCCCUCCCCUUCCUGCUACGAGGGGCUCGUCUUCGCAAUGGUUGGCAGCGUGCCGGCCUUUGGAGGUCUCUGUGCUGUUGCAGCGGCGGUGGGAUGCUAGAUCUGGCCGUUUUCUGCCGGAUCAGGCUUGGUGGCAUCUUUCUAGCCGUCGGCGAGGUAUGUGGUGGCUUCUACUUGGUCAUGGCACGAUGACUUCGUGGGAGGUGUGCGGGUCAGCGGUGCAGUGCUUCGCGUGUGGGUGUGGUGUUGGAAGGUGCUUCGGGCGAAAGCUUGCCGGAUCUUGCCGGCUGGCGGCGUCGGCGUCCGCGGAUGUCGUGUCACCUCCUUGGAAGCGUCGCCGUGGAGUCCACCCCCUGCACACCCUCGGUUCCAGCUCUUCGGGUGAAAGCCUAAGGCCCUGUCAGGUCGGACGGCGGCGUCGACAUCGUCGCUUCCUUCUUUGGGGUGUCGUCUUGAAGAGCUUUGGAUCCCGUUUGCGCGCUCCAUGGGCUGGACGCUCGCGGCAUUGCGGUCGGCAGGUGUGCGUCCGGCAAUGGUGA
RNAcentral lists this ribosomal RNA (1122 nucleotides) under Triticum aestivum (bread wheat). RNAcentral's name for it is "partial small subunit ribosomal RNA". The record is from RNAcentral. Lineage: Eukaryota; Viridiplantae; Streptophyta; Magnoliopsida; Poales; Poaceae.